This 468-nucleotide ribosomal RNA is filed under the name uncultured bacterium. Its description in RNAcentral is "partial 16S ribosomal RNA". It matches the Rfam family "Bacterial small subunit ribosomal RNA", at positions 28 to 507 of the family's 1533-position model. The record is from RNAcentral.
GACGAACGCUGGCGGCGUGCUUAACACAUGCAAGUCGAACGGAAAGGCCCUGCUUUUGUGGGGUGCUCGAGUGGCGAACGGGUGAGUAACACGUGAGUAACCUGCCCUUGACUUUGGGAUAACUUCAGGAAACUGGGGCUAAUACCGACUAGGAGCUCCUGCUGCAUGGUGGGGGUUGGAAAGUUUCGGCGGUUGGGGAUGGACUCUCGGCUUAUCAGCUUGUUGGGGGGGUAGUGGCUUACCAAGGCUUUGGCUGGUAGCCGGCCUGAGAGGGUGACCGGCCACAUUGGGACUGCGAGACGGCCCAGACUCCUACGGGAGGCAGCAGUGGGGAAUAUUGCACAAUGGGCGGAAGCCUGAUGCAGCAGCGCCGCGUGCGGGAUGACGGCCUUCGGGUUGUAAACCGCUUUCGCCUGUGACGAAGCGUGAGUGACGGUAAUGGGUAAAGAAGCACCGGCUAACUACGUG